Long non-coding RNA from Triticum dicoccoides, 2211 nucleotides. RefSeq lists it as uncharacterized. The transcript is spliced from 5 exons. The record is from RefSeq and is a predicted model, not a curated record. NCBI's taxonomy places the organism in Eukaryota, Viridiplantae, Streptophyta, Magnoliopsida, Poales, Poaceae.
CCAUGGACGUUGAUUUCCAUUAAACAGUAUUUUGCGAACUUCUUGUUCUCUGCAAAUUUUGGAUGCCACCGGUCAGUGUGACGCCCAAACCUUUGAGUGGCGUGUAUGGACUUUGGAUUGUUUACACUUUACAGCCUGGUGGCAAGUCUUUUUCUAAUUGAGACAAUUAUUUAGGUGCUAAAUCAAACAACAUGUCUAUAGGAUCCUAUCUGGAAAACUAGAUGGUGUACGGAUUCAGAGAUGAACAUGACGAACGAUAGAAGGUCGAUUUGGAUUAUUCUUGGUCCAUAACUAUCAAUUAUUCCACUGCCACACAACUGUGUUUGUGCUGGCAGGGAGAGAAGGAGAAGUAAGGUGUUGUGGGCAGGGACUGGUUGUGGGUACAAGUAAGAAGGCCAGAUAUGAGAUGGGGGAAAGGAUGCAUGCAGGAGAAGAGAACAGACUGCAACGAAAGGCAGUUUGAGAUGUAGCAGUGGACGCCUCUUCCAUGAUAUUCAGCACUCUGCGUGUUCAAUGAUGCCGCACACGUCCUCUCAUCCCGUCACCAACGGCCUGGAUGUGGCAGCUGCCGUCAACAUCCCAACCGUCACCAGCACCACAUGUUGAAUGACAUUGGCAUCGUGUCACCGGGGCAGCAGCUCAACACCAGCAUUAUUCUGGUAAUGCAAGCCCCGUUCCAUCUCCUUUGUUUGCAGUCAUUGUUCCAAUAUUACUGGAGAUAAAAUCCAUUCUAGCUAUCCUUGCUGAAGAUCAUUUGGUGGUGUUUGAUCUAGACCAAAAAUUUAUUUGAUGUUGUUUUCUGUAAUUAUGAUCAGCUCAGUCGUAAGAUAUAGAGAGAUCAAUCACAUCCGAUCUUCGAUUUAAUGUAAAUUAGAUGCUUUCCUGAACCGCGGGUUGCCUGUUUCAUGAACAGUACUGCCAUUUUAAAAAUCUAGGGCCUAGACUUGAUGACAACAUUAUUAUUUAUACCGUUGUACUGGGCCAUUUGUUAGCAGCAGACAAUUAUAUGCCAAUCUUUAUAAAGUUGAGAGACUAAAUUCCAGUGACAAAAAGCCUUGUCAUACUGGCAGUUAUUUUCCAAUGAAUGUCUGCAUAUCAUCCACUUGACUUGAUGUCUGCCUAUAAUAAAGUUGGCAUGGACCUUCUGUUCAAAAUAAAGCAUGCUUGGUUUUUGGAGUUGCAUCCAUCAACUAACCUUAGAGGAAUUCAUAUAUCCACCACGCCGGUGCUUCUUUUGCACAAUCUUAUACAUUAGGACUUUAUACUCCUUCACAAAAAAACACCCUGGCAAAAUAUCCGUACGCUACUUUGCCUCAUAUCAUAAGUGUAGUUUUGGUCACGUAUGUUGGAAAUAUAUGCUUGUUCUGCGGUGAUGAAUCACAGAAUCAGAAUGGAAAAUCUGAAUGGAAGUUAUUAUUUGUUCAUGUGUUGAUAUAGUGAUUCCGUUUGAACUUGAAGGAUAAAUAUGGUGGAGCCUUUUUUUAGUAAAGUUUGUUUUCCCUUGGAAUUAUUGUUGUAAUAACUAUAUUUGUGGGUGUGCAGUUUUUGAUUGUCUAUUCAUGAUAUUUAGAUAGAUCGGAUUCGUUCCUUUAUAGCAUACAUGGACUUGAAUUAUUUUGUCAUUGAUGAAUAUGCAUAAUGUACUUUAAUUUGUUGAGAUUUCAAAUGAGGUUGUAGGAAUCAAAAUGGAACUCUCAUGUGGCUGACAUCGGUUUUAUAUUAUAUUUUUAGAUGAAAUUUCUAUAUUUACUGAUCUCAAGAUAUAUUUGAUUUCAUUUUUGUCUCUUGAGACAAGGAGCGAGAAAACUGUUGAUUUUGCGAAGAACAAUUGUCACUGUAUUGCUUUCAAGGCGGAUGUUCCGUAGACAAACAAGUAUGCAAUCAACACUCAUGAUUUCAACUGGUUUCCAAUCAUGGAAAGAAGGAACGACAUGAGCUAAAAGAUGCAGAAAAAGAGGAUUAGGCCCGCAGAUUGUUGUCAAAGAGAACAUUGAGCUAUGAGGGUGUUUUUUUGGGCAACACCGGCGAUGGUCUCAGCAGCUAAAUGAUGGUGAACUGUAGCUGUUGUAAUACUGUGAGAAAUAUAUUAUGAUUAAUUUUAACUUACCUAUCCGAUUUUUUUCAUUGCGAUGAUCUGAUAGGCCCCAUAUAGGUGUUUGGAUGAUAAUAGGUGUUUUUCUGGGUUCGGAAGGGUGUUCAUUAAAAUUAUUG